Molecule: ribosomal RNA, 468 nt
Filed under: uncultured bacterium
Lineage: Bacteria
Description: partial 16S ribosomal RNA
Rfam family: Bacterial small subunit ribosomal RNA
Source: RNAcentral
GACGAACGCUGGCGGCGUGCUUAACACAUGCAAGUCGAACGGAAAGGCCCUGCUUUUGUGGGGUGCUCGAGUGGCGAACGGGUGAGUAACACGUGAGUAACCUGCCCUUGACUUUGGGAUAACUUCAGGAAACUGGGGCUAAUACCGGAUAGGAGCUCCUGCUGCAUGGUGGGGGUUGGAAAGUUUCGGCGGUUGGGGAUGGACUCGCGGCUUAUCAGCUUGUUGGGGGGGUAGUGGCUUACCAAGGCUUUGACGGGUAGCCGGCAUGAGAGGGUGACCGGCGACAUUGGGACUGAGGUACGGCCCAGACUGCUACGGGAGGCAGCAGUGGGAAGUAUUGCAGAGUGGGCGGAAGCCAGAUGCAACAACGCCGCGUGCGGGAUGACGGCCUUCGGGUUGUGAACCGCUUUCGCCGGUGCCGAAGCGUGAGUGACGGUAAUGGGUAAAGAAGCACCGGCUAACUACGUG